UACGGAGGGUGCAAGCGUUGUCCGGAAUCAUUGGGUGUAAAGGGUGCGUAGGCGGAAGUCUAAGUCGGAGGUGAAAUCUUGCCGCUUAACGGUAAAAGUGCCUUCGAAACUGGAUUUCUUGAGUUCGGGAGAGGUUGGUGGAAUUCGGGGUGUAGCGGUGAAAUGCGUAGAUAUCACGAAGAACACCGGUGGCGAAGGCGGCCAACUGGUCCGAUACUGACGCUGAGGUACGAAAGCGUGGGGAGCGAACAGG
This 253-nucleotide unclassified non-coding RNA is filed under the name uncultured Bacteroidota bacterium. Its description in RNAcentral is "uncultured Bacteroidetes bacterium contains 16S-23S intergenic spacer region". It matches the Rfam family "Bacterial small subunit ribosomal RNA", at positions 524 to 776 of the family's 1533-position model. Lineage: Bacteria; Pseudomonadati; Bacteroidota. The record is from RNAcentral.